AUUAAGCAUAUCAAUAAGCGGAGGAAAAGAAACCAACAGGGAUUGCCCUAGUAACGGCGAGUGAAGCGGCAACAGCUCAAAUUUGAAAUCUGGCCCUAGCGGUCCGAGUUGUAAUUUGUAGAGGAUGCUUUAGGUGCGGUGCCUUCCGAGUUCCCUGGAACGGGACGCCAGAGAGGGUGAGAGCCCCGUACGGUUGGCCACCUACCCUAUAUAUAGCUCCUUCGACGAGUCGAGUAGUUUGGGAAUGCUGCUCUAAAUGGGAGGUAAAUUUCUUCUAAAGCUAAAUACCGGCCAGAGACCGAUAGCGCACAAGUAGAGUGAUCGAAAGAUGAAAAGCACUUUGAAAAGAGGGUUAAAUAGCACGUGAAAUUGUUGAAAGGGAAGCGUUUGCGACCAGACUUUUUCCAGGCGGAUCAUCCGGUGUUCUCACCGGUGCACUUCGCCUGGCUGAGGCCAGCAUCGGUUUCCUUAGGGGGAUAAAGGCUUGGGGAACGUAGCUCUCUAGGGAGUGUUAUAGCCCCUCGCGUAAUACCCCUCGGGGGACCGAGGAACGCGCUCUGCAAGGAUGCUGGCGUAAUGGUCGUCAACGACCCGUCUUGAAACACGGACCAAGGAGUCGAACAUUUAUGCGAGUGUUUGGGUGUUAAACCCUCACGCGUAAUGAAAGUGAACGGAGGUGAGAGCCCAUGGGUGCAUCAUCGACCGAUCCUGAUGUCUUCGGAUGGAUUUGAGUAAGAGCAUAGCUGUUCGGACCCGAAAGAUGGUGAACUAUGCGUGGAUAGGGUGAAGCCAGAGGAAACUCUGGUGGAGGCUCGCAGCGGUUCUGACGUGCAAAUCGAUCGUCAAAUCUGCGCAUGGGGGCGAAAGACUUAUCGAACCAUUUAGUAGCUGGUUACCGCCGAAGUUUCCCUCAGGAUAGCAGUGUUGUCUUCAGUUUUAUGAGGUAAAGCGAAUGAUUAGGGACUCGGGGGCGCUAUUUAGCCUUCAUCCAUUCUCAAACUUUAAAUAUGUAAGAAGCCCUUGUUGCUUAGUUGAACGUGGGCAUUCGAAUGUACCAACACUAGUGGGCCAUUUUUG
This 1077-nucleotide ribosomal RNA is filed under the name Pyrenomyxa picea. Its description in RNAcentral is "eukaryotic LSU rRNA". It matches the Rfam family "Eukaryotic large subunit ribosomal RNA", at positions 33 to 1139 of the family's 3401-position model. Lineage: Eukaryota; Fungi; Ascomycota; Sordariomycetes; Xylariales; Xylariaceae. The record is from RNAcentral.